RNAcentral lists this long non-coding RNA (646 nucleotides) under Setaria italica (foxtail millet). Its description in RNAcentral is "long non-coding RNA (SITA_LNC003713)". Lineage: Eukaryota; Viridiplantae; Streptophyta; Magnoliopsida; Poales; Poaceae. The record is from RNAcentral.
AUCCCUGAGAUUGGCUAGACCGCUGAGCUCACGUCGGCGGCGAGGACGAACCAUCGACCAAAUUCGCAAUCGCCGCCGCCGCAAUCGCCGUCCAAGCCUCGAUCCGCUAUCGUCGUCGCCUCCACCUACGAUGCUUCUCCCUACGCCAUCCCCUUUGUCCGUGCCUUCCAUGGCGACAUCGGGGGCUCAUAUAGUGAUUGCAUUGCAAGGGCGUCAGGCCUGCAGUCUCGUAGAGCAUGUAAUGGCGUCAGGCUCAUAUAGUGAUUGCAUCCGGGGACGCUGAAGCACUCGUCAAUCAUCACAAACAAUGAGCCUCCUAGGAGCUCGGAUCUGUAAUUUCUUCAAUUCCAAGUCCAAUUUGAUGCUCUAAUCUAAAUCCGGAUAGCUUUUAGAUCUUGGAAGAAUUGGGAUCAAAUCGCGCACAGAAGGAAGUGCUAAUGCAACGGAUUGCAGGUUGCUUAAUUCAGAAUUUCUCUGCUCGGUUGCUAGCUGAGCUAAUCUAGCGAGAGUUCAGUUGGGCGAGUUCUCUGAUUUUGAUUCUGAUUGUUUUGAUGUAGCUGCAGAAUGUUUGAGCGCGGCAUGGCCUCGGCCAUCGGCCUCAAUUCGCGUCGCCAUGGCCUCAACAAACGACUGUAUUGGAUCUCAG